CGCGGCCUAUCAGCUUGUUGGUGAGGUAACGGCUCACCAAGGCAUCGACGGGUAGCUGGUCUGAGAGGACGAUCAGCCACACUGGGGCUGAGACACGGCCCAGACUCCUACGGGAGGCAGCAGUAGGGAAUCUUGCGCAAUGGGCGAAAGCCUGACGCAGCAACGCCGCGUGGGGGAUGAAGGCCUUCGGGUCGUAAACCCCUUUCAGCAGGGACGAAACUGACGGUACCUGCAGAAGAAGGUCCGGCCAACUACGUGCCAGCAGCCGCGGUAAUACGUAGGGGCCAAGCGUUGUCCGGAAUUAUUGGGCGUAAAGAGCUCGUAGGCGGUUCGGUAAGUCGGGUGUGAAAAUCCAGGGCUCAACCCUGGGACGCCACCCGAUACUGCUGUGACUAGAGUCCGGUAGAGGAGCGUGGAAUUCCUGGUGUAGCGGUGAAAUGCGCAGAUAUCAGGAGGAACACCAGCGGCGAAGGCGGCGCUCUGGGCCGGUACUGACGCUGAGGAGCGAAAGCGUGGGGAGCAAACAGGAUUAGAUACCCUGGUAGUCCACGCCGUAAACGUUGGGCACUAGGUAUGGGGUCUUAUCAACGGAUUCCGUGCCGUAGCUAACGCAUUAAGUGCCCCGCCUGGGGAGUACGG
RNAcentral lists this ribosomal RNA (639 nucleotides) under uncultured Iamia sp. RNAcentral's name for it is "bacterial SSU rRNA". It matches the Rfam family "Bacterial small subunit ribosomal RNA", at positions 232 to 885 of the family's 1533-position model. The record is from RNAcentral. Lineage: Bacteria; Bacillati; Actinomycetota; Acidimicrobiia; Acidimicrobiales; Iamiaceae.